UUUACAGGUGUGUAUCUCAAGAUCACUCCACAACAAAGAUUCUGCCUGCAGUCCUCCACUUCAAGGGAUCAUGGCCCAAGUUUUAGUGUCUACCCUGUCCAUUGAAGAUGAGGACUCCUAUGAGAGCAGGAUGGUGGUGACGUUCCUCAUGUCAGCUCUUGAGUCCACGAAUUUUCCUGGCUAAUACUACAAUGCUGAAUAGAGUGGUUAAAGUGGAAAUUCUUGUCUCUCAAACUUUCAGAUCAUGGCCCAAGUAACAGUGUCCACCCUGGCCGUUGAAGAUGAGGAGUCCUCAGCAGGAUGGUAGUGACAUUCCUCAUGUCAGCUCUUGAGUCCAUGGAUUGUUUUAGAGUGUGGAUACUGAAGCAAGAAUGUACCCUCAUUUACCACAAGGGAAAGCUUUACAAAAACCCACAGAGGUACCUGUACCAUAUGAG
Molecule: long non-coding RNA, 437 nt
Filed under: Homo sapiens (human)
Lineage: Eukaryota; Metazoa; Chordata; Mammalia; Primates; Hominidae
Description: HSALNT0248448
Source: RNAcentral